AGUAAAUAUUUCUAGAUCAGAAUCAAUCCAAUCUUCUUGGAGUAGGAACUCAGCUCAGCCGUUCAGAUUAAAGAUGGAAACAAGGAUAGCCUUAAGUGUGGCUGUAAGUGAAGUUCUUAAUGUAAACAUUAAUUAUUUGGUUUGGAGUGUCCAAGUGAGAACCUAUUUGAUUGCUCAAGAUAUAUGGGACAUUGUUCAAGCAACCGACGAAUUUCCUAAGCAAGAAGAAUGCCAUGGCUUUACAUGUGAUCCAAAUUUCAUGCCCGUAACAGAUAUGUCAUGUGAUUAGUCUGAUUACUUCCACCAAAAUUGCUUGGGAAACUUUGGAAUCAAUAUGCAGCAUCCCCAAAAGUGAUUAUUUUGAGGAGGAGGAAGAAAGUUAUGUGGGUUGGAGCAAUCAGAUGAAAACAAUUUUAAUGGAUCAUGAUCUUUGGAACAUUGUUGAAACAACCACCGAACCAAAUACACUUGCAUGGAGCAAGAAGAAUGCUUUGGCUUUAUAUUUGAUCAGGGAAUCCUGUGGGUCGGACAAAUUUUUUUUGUUAGAGAAAAUUAGUAAGGCUAAAGACGCUUGGGAUGAAAUUGCAGACUCAGGUAGCUAUUUCUCUCCUAAAGAUACACAUGUUCUAUCAUUCUAAAAUAAUAGCUUAAAGUUUGUAAAUCGAUGAUAACACUAGAGUGGUUGCCAUUGUUUCUUCAUUGUAUUCAGUGUGGUUGUGGUGG
Quercus lobata is the source of this 723-nucleotide long non-coding RNA. RefSeq lists it as uncharacterized. NCBI's taxonomy places the organism in Eukaryota, Viridiplantae, Streptophyta, Magnoliopsida, Fagales, Fagaceae. The transcript has 3 exons. The record is from RefSeq and is a predicted model, not a curated record.